Molecule: transfer RNA, 83 nt
Filed under: Mycobacteroides abscessus subsp. massiliense
Lineage: Bacteria; Bacillati; Actinomycetota; Actinomycetes; Mycobacteriales; Mycobacteriaceae
Description: tRNA-Lys(ttt)
Source: RNAcentral
CGGCGCCGUGCGAGCUGGGCGAAUGCUCGAUGGGCUUUUUUACACACCAGCGGUCGGGGGUUCGAAACCCUCCGCGCCCACCA